This 100-nucleotide small nuclear RNA is filed under the name Sciurus vulgaris (Eurasian red squirrel). Lineage: Eukaryota; Metazoa; Chordata; Mammalia; Rodentia; Sciuridae. The record is from RNAcentral.
GUGCUUGCUUCAGCAGCACAUAUACUAAAAAUUGAAAUGAUACAGAGAAGAUUAGUAUGGCCCCUGUGCAAGGAUGACAUAUGAAGCAUUCCAUAUUUAA